AAUGAUGCGAACAAGAAGAAUAGCUCCUUUGCUCGGAUUUGCAGGAUUAGCAGGGUUUGGUGUUGGGGUCGCUGGAAUGUCUGUUAACAAGGAGGAGCUGAACUCUGUUGCUAAGCCCACUACUGCACUUGUGAUUGGUGGAGGUAUUAUGGGCCUCUCUACCUCCUUACAGUUGGCUGAGAGAGGAGUGCAAGUAACUCUACUAGAAGUUAAUCCUUUACCGGCUCAGGUUGCGUCCUACUACAAUGGAGCUAUUAUCUGUAACUCUAUGGCAGCAAGCUGGGCAAGUGCGACCUUAAUAGCAAAAAACCCUGGAGAAUUGAAAACGAUGAAAGUAGGAUUUGAAUCGUGGACAGAUCCUAACUUUUAUAGAUGGUGUGCGUGGUUCUGGAUGAACAGCUUGUGGCCGGGCCGAGCAGAGUUUAAUCAUCAAUCUCAACGCCUUCUCUCAUACUUCAGCUACAAUCUAUUUAGAUCAAUGCAAGAGGAAAAAGCAAAGUACGGAGACAAACUGUUUAUGAAUGAGACAGCUAAAGAAACCAUAAAGCUGUUUUACAAUGCGGAAGAAAUGAAUGAAUUUCUGAGUUCAAACCAGGCAAAGUUCUGGGCUGAACAUGGUUUGGGAUUUAGACAAAUAUCAGCUCAAGAUUGCAUUCAACUAGAACCUGGCUUAAGAAAUGUUUGCCAAACUGAUGGUAUUGUUGGAGGAGUGGUUUGUCCGUCUGAUUCUAGCGGGGAUAUUGGUGUAUAUUGCUCAAAUCUAGAAAAGCUCUGCAAAGAACUGGGAGUAAAGAUUAUGUACAACUCUGGGGUGGAGAAACUUAUAAAACGAGAUGAACAGAUUGUAAGCGCACAGCUCAGUAAUGGACAGACUAUGAGUGCAGACGUGUAUGUUCUAUGUGUGGGGGUUGGAUCUAAACAACUUGGUGAAACUGUUGGAAUAAAUCUACCAGUCUAUCCAUUAAAGGGUCAUCUUGCAACCAUACAUUCUAACCCCGACUAUCCUUCACUUACCAGGAAUAUUCUAGAUACAAGAUAUGGACUCAUCAGUCCCCUGAACCCUACUAGUAUACGGCUAUCUGGAAGGGUUGAGGCAGUUGGAUAUAAUUAUGCUGUGGAACCAGAGAAGGGAAAACAACUAGCUGCAGCGGUAAAAAUGGUUUUUAAACCCAAUUUUCUCCGUACUGAUGAGGCAACCUAUCACUCUUGCUUGAGACCAGUUAGUGGCGACGACUUAGCAAUAAUUGGUCAGACAAAAAUACAAAACCUCUUUGUUAAUACAGGCCAUGGGAGUAAUGGCUGGACCUUUAGCUAGGGAUCAUCUAAGCUAAUUGCCCAGAUAAUUUGCGGAGAGGAGACUAAUUUAGACCCAACAAGAUUUUCUCCCUUGAGAUUCCAUCCUUUCCGUGGAUAUCUGGGCUAACCAUAGUUC
Molecule: unclassified non-coding RNA, 1432 nt
Filed under: Eurytemora carolleeae
Lineage: Eukaryota; Metazoa; Arthropoda; Copepoda; Calanoida; Temoridae
Description: d-amino acid dehydrogenase
Source: RNAcentral